UUAUAUAUAUAUUUUUUACAUGUUUUUGUUACAUUGUCAUUUAGGCUACGUUUGGCAUCAUCAUCACUUUUUAUUUGAAAAAAGAAAAUAGAAAUUCUCUCUCUAUUUUUUUUCAGAUUUCUGACAAUAAAAAAUAUGUUUAGUUUUUUUUUUUUUUUUUUUAUAACUUUUUUACAAUGAAGAUUGGCAACAAGGCUGGUGAUUAGGGAGAGGGAUGGGGGAUGGGGCCGACGAUAUGGUCUAGGAUGAGGGACAGCUCAAUAUUGGGUGGAGAGGUAGUCAAGGGAGUGUCAGCUGGGGGACAAGGCAGCAUCAGUUGGUGAGUUUUGGGGAACUAGCAUGGUUGAGCGAGGGAGGGCAAUGGGGUUGCGGGUGAGAUCAGGCGAAAUUAAGAGGGAUCAAGAGGAGAAGGGUGAAAACCCACUUUUAAGAAAAGUGGAAGUGAAUUCAGAAAUAUUGGAAGUUGUUUUAAAAAAACUAGAAAAAGAAAUUGAGUAAUCAAACAUAUUUUUCGCAACAGAUUUCGUAUUUCUAUUUAGAGAAAAACAAAAGAAUAGUACCGAUUUGUUCUUUGGAAAAAAAAAAAAAAACAUUCAAUUUCACAAUCACCCAAAGUGUUUUUCAGUAUGCAUGUCUUUCUCUGUGAAAAUUUAAGAUCGAAAGAUGGUUGAAAGACAAUAACUAGUGCCACAGCAAAUCUAAAAAUUAAAAAGAAAUAAAUGUGGCAACAAGUGAAGUGGAUAUUCUAAAACAAAAUGAAGGAAAGAUUAAAACAAGGAAAAGAGAUUGUAUUCUAAUCAAACAAUAUUUGUAAACCCUAAACUUCAGAUAAUGAAUCAUUUGAUGGUGGUCUUCAAUCUGUGUUUCCUUAUUCUCUUUAGUUCAUCGGACACUAGUUGUAUUAACCCAGCCCAUACUGAGAUUAUUAACGGGCUGGGCCUGGUCCACUUGACCAGGUAAUGGCUCAGAAUCGGAAAAAAAAAAAAAGGUAAAAGAGAUAGGAAGAAGACGCCCAUUGAUGAGAUUAUUUCGUGGGAGGAAGCCGACAUCGAGGAGGACUUGGUUUCUUCCCUUCGGCUCUAUUUAAAGGGAAGAAACUUCUUGGACCUUCCCAUCAAAGAUCCAAGCCCCAAGUUAAAGAGCUCUAGCAUUCUCAUUGGUCUUCAUGGGACACCACCCACCACUGUCGCAGUCGUAGCACAGCUGGAAAUGAGAUAAAAUGUGCAGAGACCUGAGCUUUUUUUCGUCUCAAACAUACACAUGCAAAUACAUGCACACAUACGUGAAACUUAAGCCUAUUUGCUGGUUCAAGCUUGAGUUGUAUAUUUUCGAACCGGCCUUGAUUUGAGCUUUUCUCGAGCUGAACUCGAUCUGAGCUCUGGCUGUUCAGUUCGUUUGACAGCCCGAUGCUUGAGGCCGUGAUGAUUAAUCUACCAGCACGCAAUCUUUAGCCUCAGCUAGUCUUCAUGUGUAGCAGUUUGGAAACCAGAUUGAGUACUGCAUUGGUUGCAUAGCAGCAUUCUUGAAACUCUGCAACAGUAGCAAGGCAGUUUGGAUGGUCUGCUGCUGCUCUGCGGGCAACUUGGUUGGCACCAUUUGUUGAGAGGAUGGUGUGACUAGGUUUCUGAUGGAGAUGAAAAACUUAUGUCUCAUAUAUUGAUUUCUAGCACACGGAUCUUCCAAACCUCACUGCCUGUAUCCGUGAGAUUGGGUGGUUUCUUUCAAAAUAUUUUUUUCAUUUUCCAUCUCAAUGCGCAUUUGUACGUACAACUUUGCUAGACAUGUAUAUAUUUGAGUUGGACUGAUUUUUUGCUCUGCUUGAAA
Elaeis guineensis (African oil palm) is the source of this 1824-nucleotide non-coding RNA. The record is from RefSeq and is a predicted model, not a curated record. NCBI's taxonomy places the organism in Eukaryota, Viridiplantae, Streptophyta, Magnoliopsida, Arecales, Arecaceae.